This 254-nucleotide ribosomal RNA is filed under the name uncultured bacterium. Its description in RNAcentral is "partial 16S ribosomal RNA". It matches the Rfam family "Bacterial small subunit ribosomal RNA", at positions 524 to 776 of the family's 1533-position model. The record is from RNAcentral.
GACGUAGGAUGCAAGCGUUGUUCGGAUUUACUGGGCGUAAAGGGCGCGUAGGCGGUCAGCACAAGUCAGUUGUGAAAUCUCCGGGCUUAACUCGGAAAGGUCAACUGAUACUGUGCGACUAGAGUGCAGAAGGGGCAACUGGAAUUCUCGGUGUAGCGGUGAAAUGCGUAGAUAUCGAGAGGAACACCUGCGGCGAAGGCGGGUUGCUGGGCUGACACUGACGCUGAUGCGCGAAAGCCAGGGGAGCGAACGGG